Molecule: transfer RNA, 72 nt
Filed under: Hydrogenibacillus schlegelii
Lineage: Bacteria; Bacillati; Bacillota; Bacilli; Thermicanales; Thermicanaceae
Description: Bacillus schlegelii tRNA
Rfam family: tRNA
About the family: Transfer RNA (tRNA) molecules are approximately 80 nucleotides in length. Their secondary structure includes four short double-helical elements and three loops (D, anti-codon, and T loops). Further hydrogen bonds mediate the characteristic L-shaped molecular structure. tRNAs have two regions of fundamental functional importance: the anti-codon, which is responsible for specific mRNA codon recognition, and the 3' end, to which the tRNAs corresponding amino acid is attached (by aminoacyl-tRNA synthetases). tRNAs cope with the degeneracy of the genetic code in two manners: having more than one tRNA (with a specific anti-codon) for a particular amino acid; and 'wobble' base-pairing, i.e. permitting non-standard base-pairing at the 3rd anti-codon position.
Source: Rfam by way of RNAcentral
GCGGACGUAGUUCAGCGGUAGAACACAACCUUGCCAAGGUUGGGGUCGCGGGUUCGAUUCCCGUCGUCCGCU